Molecule: unclassified non-coding RNA, 391 nt
Filed under: soil metagenome
Description: partial contains 5.8S ribosomal RNA, internal transcribed spacer 2, and large subunit ribosomal RNA
Rfam family: 5.8S ribosomal RNA (bases 1-122)
Source: RNAcentral
GAUGAAGAACGUAGUGAAAUGCGAUACUUGGUGUGAAUUGCAGAAUCCCGUGAACCAUCGAGUCUUUGAACGCAAGUUGCGCCCGAAGCCAUUAGGCCGAGGGCACGCCUGCCUGGGCGUCACACGUCGUUGCCCCCCCAUCUACUCCUUCGGGAUUGCGGGGGGCGGAUGAUGGCCUCCCGUGCGCCUCGUCGCGCGGUUGGCAUAAAUGCCAAGUCCUCGGCGACGCACGCCACGACAAUCGGUGGUUGCGAAACCUCGGUUGCCCGUCGUGUGCGGUCGUCGCGCAUCGAGGGCUCGAAAAAAUUGUCGGGCUCCGGCUCGACUUUCAACGCGACCCCAGGUCAGGCGGGGUUACCCGCUGAAUUUAAGCAUAUCAAUAAGCGGAGGA